UACGAAGGGUGCAAGCGUUAAUCGGAAUUACUGGGCGUAAAGCGUGCGCAGGCGGUUCGUUGUGUCGGCGGGGAAAUCCCCGGGCUCAACCUGGGAAUGGCCGUUGAAACUGGCGAACUGGAGUGUGGCAGAGGGGGGUGGAAUUCCGCGUGUAGCAGUGAAAUGCGUAGAGAUGUGGAGGAACACCGAUGGCGAAGGCAGCCCCCUGGGUCAACACUGACGCUCAUGCACGAAAGCGUGGGGAGCAAACAGG
RNAcentral lists this ribosomal RNA (253 nucleotides) under uncultured bacterium. RNAcentral's name for it is "partial 16S ribosomal RNA". It matches the Rfam family "Bacterial small subunit ribosomal RNA", at positions 524 to 776 of the family's 1533-position model. The record is from RNAcentral.